RNA transcript from Tupaia belangeri chinensis (Chinese tree shrew), 669 nucleotides. It is a transcript of the gene named secreted phosphoprotein 24-like, with no coding region annotated. The record is from RefSeq and is a predicted model, not a curated record. The transcript is spliced from 6 exons. Lineage: Eukaryota; Metazoa; Chordata; Mammalia; Scandentia; Tupaiidae.
CCUAUUUAUAAAGACAGAUACUCUCAGGAAAACUGCUGCUCCUAAACCUCUAGACAGACAAUCGCAUUUACUCUGAACUAAAAUUGUUAUUCCCAGGAUGGAGAAGAUGUUAUUGAUCUUCAUGAUUAUGUUUGCUCUUGGAAUCAACUACUGGUAUUGUACAGGGUUGCCACGGUAUGCGGAUCCCCUCGUGGAUGAAGCCUUCAAUGCCUCUGUCAAAGUAGUAAAUUCCAGGAUACCGAGGCCAUUUCUCUAUCGGCCAUACAGAAGUUCACUGAAAAAUGAUUUUGUCUCAGAAGAUAACUCCAGGAACCUAAUUUUUGAGUUCUUCAUGCAAGAAACUGUUUGCCGGAAAUACAGUGGGGCAGAUCUCUUUACAUGUGCCUUCGAAAGAAGGGCCAGCUGGAAUGUGUUCCUGUGUGAGAGCAGAGUGAAGGUGUCUGAAAACAGACGGCAGUCUGUGACUACUGAUUGUUACCACAUCUAGAAUUUGCCAGUACUUUCCAACCUUCAGGAAAUAUGGAAAACCAGACCCUAAUUACCAUGUCGAAUGGAAUCUGAUGCAGAAUAUAAUGAAUGAGAAGAUCUAAUGAAGAAAGAUAAUUUAUGAAUUGUGUAAGUUUUUUAUCAAUUGAAGCCUGUAAUAAAUGCCUUACUUUUCCUGUAAGA